RNAcentral lists this transfer RNA (59 nucleotides) under Clostridium perfringens. RNAcentral's name for it is "tRNA-Lys". It matches the Rfam family "tRNA", at positions 8 to 63 of the family's 71-position model. Rfam says of the family: Transfer RNA (tRNA) molecules are approximately 80 nucleotides in length. Their secondary structure includes four short double-helical elements and three loops (D, anti-codon, and T loops). Further hydrogen bonds mediate the characteristic L-shaped molecular structure. tRNAs have two regions of fundamental functional importance: the anti-codon, which is responsible for specific mRNA codon recognition, and the 3' end, to which the tRNAs corresponding amino acid is attached (by aminoacyl-tRNA synthetases). tRNAs cope with the degeneracy of the genetic code in two manners: having more than one tRNA (with a specific anti-codon) for a particular amino acid; and 'wobble' base-pairing, i.e. permitting non-standard base-pairing at the 3rd anti-codon position. The record is from RNAcentral. Lineage: Bacteria; Bacillati; Bacillota; Clostridia; Eubacteriales; Clostridiaceae.
UAGCUCAGUCGGUAGAGCACGUGACUUUUAAUCACGGUGUCCAGGGUUCGAUUCCCUGG